GACGAACGCUGGCGGCGUGCUUAACACAUGCAAGUCGAACGGAAAGACCCUGCUUUUGUGGGGUGCUCGAGUGGCGAACGGGUGAGUAACACGUGAGUAACCUGCCCUUGACUUUGGGAUAACUUCAGGAAACAGGGGCUAAUACCGGAUAGGAGCUCCUGCUGCAUGGUGGGGGUUGGAAAGUUUCGGCGGUUGGGUAUGGACUCGCGGCUUAUCAGCUUGUUGGUGGGGUAGUGGCUUACCAAGGCUUUGACGGGUAGCCGGCCUGAGAGGGUGACCGGCCACAUUGGGACUGAGAUACGGCCCAGACUCCUACGGGAGGCAGCAGUGGGGAAUAUUGCACAAUGGGCGGAAGCCUGAUGCAGCAACGCCGCGUGCGGGAUGACGGCCUUCGGGUUGUAAACCGCUUUCGCCUGUGACGAAGCGUGAGUGACGGUAAUGGGUAAAGAAGCACCGGCUAACUACGUG
Molecule: ribosomal RNA, 468 nt
Filed under: uncultured bacterium
Lineage: Bacteria
Description: partial 16S ribosomal RNA
Rfam family: Bacterial small subunit ribosomal RNA
Source: RNAcentral